RNAcentral lists this ribosomal RNA (467 nucleotides) under uncultured bacterium. RNAcentral describes it as "partial 16S ribosomal RNA". It matches the Rfam family "Bacterial small subunit ribosomal RNA", at positions 28 to 507 of the family's 1533-position model. The record is from RNAcentral.
GAUGAACGCUGACAGAAUGCUUAACACAUGCAAGUCAACUUGAAUUUGGGUUUUUAACUUAGGUUUGGGUGGCGGACGGGUGAGUAACGCGUAAAGAACUUGCCUCACAGCUAGGGACAACAUUUGGAAACGAAUGCUAAUACCUAAUAUUAUGAUAAUAGGGCCUCCUAUAAUUAUGAAAGCUAUAAGCGCUGUGAGAGAGCUUUGCGUCCCAUUAGCUAGUUGGAGAGGUAACGGCUCACCAAGGCGAUGAUGGGUAGCCGGCCUGAGAGGGUGAUCGGCCACAAGGGGACUGAGACACGGCCCUUACUCCUACGGGAGGCAGCAGUGGGGAAUAUUGGACAAUGGACCGAGAGUCUGAUCCAGCAAUUCUGUGUGCACGAUGAAGUUUUUCGGAAUGUAAAGUGCUUUCAGUUGGGAAGAAACAAAUGACGGUACCAACAGAAGAAGUGACGGCUAAAUACGUG